Molecule: ribosomal RNA, 519 nt
Filed under: uncultured bacterium
Lineage: Bacteria
Description: partial 16S ribosomal RNA
Rfam family: Bacterial small subunit ribosomal RNA
Source: RNAcentral
GACGAACGCUGGCGGCGUGCCUAAUACGUGCAAGUCGAGCGAGUCUGCCUUGAAGAUCGGAGUGCUUGCACUCUGUGAAACAAGAUACAGGCUAGCGGCGGACGGGUGAGUAACACGUGGGUAACCUGCCCAAGAGAUCGGGAUAACACCUGGAAACAGAUGCUAAUACCGGAUAACAACAGAUGAUGCCUACCAACUGUUUAAAAGAUGGUUCUGCUAUCACUCUUGGAUGGACCUGCGGUGCAUUAGCUAGUUGGUAGGGUAACGGCCUACCAAGGCGAUGAUGCAUAGCCGAGUUGAGAGACUGAUCGGCCACAUUGGGACUGAGACACGGCCCAAACUCCUACGGGAGGCAGCAGUAGGGAAUCUUCCACAAUGGACGCAAGUCUGAUGGAGCAACGCCGCGUGAGUGAAGAAGGGUUUCGGCUCGUAAAGCUCUGUUGUUGGUGAAGAAGGACAGGGGUAGUAACUGACCUUUGUUUGACGGUAAUCAAUUAGAAAGUCACGGCUAACUACGUG